This 373-nucleotide ribosomal RNA is filed under the name uncultured organism. RNAcentral's name for it is "partial 16S ribosomal RNA". It matches the Rfam family "Bacterial small subunit ribosomal RNA", at positions 527 to 896 of the family's 1533-position model. The record is from RNAcentral.
GUAGGUGGCAAGCGUUGUCCGGAAUUAUUGGGCGUAAAGCGCGCGCAGGCGGUCCUUUAAGUCUGAUGUGAAAGCCCACGGCUCAACCGUGGAGGGUCAUUGGAAACUGGGGGACUUGAGUACAGAAGAGGAAAGCGGAAUUCCAAGUGUAGCGGUGAAAUGCGUAGAGAUUUGGAGGAACACCAGUGGCGGAGGCGGCUUUCUGGUCUGUAACUGACGCUGAGGCGCGAAAGCGUGGGGAGCAAACAGGAUUAGAUACCCUGGUAGUCCACGCCGUAAACGAUGAGUGCUAAGUGUUAGGGGGUUUCCCGCCCCCUUAGUGCUGCAGCUAACGCAUUAAGCACUCCGCCUGGGGAGUACGGCCGCAAGGCUG